CAAAUUGAGAGUUUGAUCCUGGCUCAGGAUGAACGCUGGCGGCGUGCCUAAUACAUGCAAGUCGAACGCUUUGUGGUUCAACUGACUUGAAGAGCUUGCUCAGAUAUGACGAUGGACAUUGCAAAGAGUGGCGAACGGGUGAGUAACACGUGGGAAACCUACCUCUUAGCAGGGGAUAACAUUUGGAAACAGAUGCUAAUACCGUAUAACAAUGACAACCGCAUGGUUGUUAUUUAAAAGAUGGUUCUGCUAUCACUAAGAGAUGGUCCCGCGGUGCAUUAGCUAGUUGGUAAGGUAAUGGCUUACCAAGGCGAUGAUGCAUAGCCGAGUUGAGAGACUGAUCGGCCACAAUGGGACUGAGACACGGCCCAUACUCCUACGGGAGGCAGCAGUAGGGAAUCUUCCACAAUGGGCGAAAGCCUGAUGGAGCAACGCCGCGUGUGUGAUGAAGGGUUUCGGCUCGUAAAACACUGUUGUAAGAGAAGAAUGACAUUGAGAGUAACUGUUCAAUGUGUGACGGUAUCUUACCAGAAAGGAACGGCUAAAUACGUGCCAGCAGCCGCGGUAAUACGUAUGUUCCAAGCGUUAUCCGGAUUUAUUGGGCGUAAAGCGAGCGCAGACGGUUAUUUAAGUCUGAAGUGAAAGCCCUCAGCUCAACUGAGGAAUUGCUUUGGAAACUGGAUGACUUGAGUGCAGUAGAGGAAAGUGGAACUCCAUGUGUAGCGGUGAAAUGCGUAGAUAUAUGGAAGAACACCAGUGGCGAAGGCGGCUUUCUGGACUGUAACUGACGUUGAGGCUCGAAAGUGUGGGUAGCAAACAGGAUUAGAUACCCUGGUAGUCCACACCGUAAACGAUGAGUGCUAGGUGUUUGAGGGUUUCCGCCCUUAAGUGCCGCAGCUAACGCAUUAAGCACUCCGCCUGGGGAGUACGACCGCAAGGUUGAAACUCAAAGGAAUUGACGGGGACCCGCACAAGCGGUGGAGCAUGUGGUUUAAUUCGAAGCAACGCGAAGAACCUUACCAGGUCUUGACAUCCCUUGACAACUCCAGAGAUGGAGCGUUCCCUUCGGGGACAAGGUGACAGGUGGUGCAUGGUUGUCGUCAGCUCGUGUCGUGAGAUGUUGGGUUAAGUCCCGCAACGAGCGCAACCCUUAUUACUAGUUGCCAGCAUUCAGUUGGGCACUCUAGUGAGACUGCCGGUGACAAACCGGAGGAAGGUGGGGAUGACGUCAAAUCAUCAUGCCCCUUAUGACCUGGGCUACACACGUGCUACAAUGGCGUAUACAACGAGUUGCCAACCCGCGAGGGUGAGCUAAUCUCUUAAAGUACGUCUCAGUUCGGAUUGUAGGCUGCAACUCGCCUACAUGAAGUCGGAAUCGCUAGUAAUCGCGGAUCAGCACGCCGCGGUGAAUACGUUCCCGGGUCUUGUACACACCGCCCGUCACACCAUGAGAGUUUGUAACACCCAAAGCCGGUGGGGUAACCUUCGGGAGCCAGCCGUCUAAGGUGGGACAGAUGAUUAGGGUGAAGUCGUAACAAGGUAGCCGUAGGAGAACCUGCGGCUGGAUCACCUCCUUU
RNAcentral lists this ribosomal RNA (1577 nucleotides) under Weissella confusa. RNAcentral describes it as "bacterial SSU rRNA". It matches the Rfam family "Bacterial small subunit ribosomal RNA". The record is from RNAcentral. Lineage: Bacteria; Bacillati; Bacillota; Bacilli; Lactobacillales; Lactobacillaceae.